GACGAACGCUGGCGGCGUGCCUAACACAUGCAAGUCGAACGGAACUGUUUUGAAAGAUUUCUUCGGAAUGAAUUUGAUUUAGUUUAGUGGCGGACGGGUGAGUAACGCGUGAGUAACCUGCCUUCAAGAGGGGGAUAACAUUCUGAAAAGAAUGCUAAUACCGCAUGAUAUAUCGGAACCACAUGGUUUUGAUAUCAAAGAUUUUAUCGCUUGAAGAUGGACUCGCGUCCGAUUAGUUAGUUGGUGAGGUAACGGCUCACCAAGACCGCGAUCGGUAGCCGGACUGAGAGGUUGAACGGCCACAUUGGGACUGAGACACGGCCCAGACUCCUACGGGAGGCAGCAGUGGGGGAUAUUGCGCAAUGGGGGCAACCCUGACGCAGCAACGCCGCGUGAAGGAUGAAGGUUUUCGGAUUGUAAACUUCUUUUAUUAAGGACGAAAAAUGACGGUACUUAAUGAAUAAG
This 465-nucleotide ribosomal RNA is filed under the name uncultured bacterium. Its description in RNAcentral is "bacterial SSU rRNA". It matches the Rfam family "Bacterial small subunit ribosomal RNA", at positions 28 to 490 of the family's 1533-position model. The record is from RNAcentral.